Molecule: long non-coding RNA, 475 nt
Filed under: Equus asinus (donkey)
Lineage: Eukaryota; Metazoa; Chordata; Mammalia; Perissodactyla; Equidae
Description: lncRNA (ENSEASG00005027934.1)
Source: RNAcentral
GAGAGUAAGUCACCUCCCUCCUCUUCUCCUCGCAGAGCUGUAUGCCCAUUACCUGAGGGGACGGAAUCCAAGCAUGGGUCAACAAUAAGGCAACAGAAAAAAUAUGCAGUCAACAACAGUAAGAAAAAAUAUGAUAGAGAGCGGACAUCCUCAGACUGUGUAAGUUGCAGGCUCCACGAAACCUGCGUCUGUCCUGCAGCUGGACAGUCCUGAAGAACUGAUGUGCACGUUCUGAAUCUCAGUUUCCUCUUGACAGGCUGGGGAUCGCACAGCUUCCUGGCUGUUAGGUCAAGAGGUGUAAAUGAGACAAUGAGGAUGAAGUAUUGAGCACAGAAUCUGGGACGUGGUAAACCCUCCUUGUUAGUAUCAUCCAUUCAUUUAUUCAGUGGACACGUAUUAAGCACCUGAAUGUUCAGACACUGCAGAUUCAGCAGGGAACAAGAUGGAAAAAGUCUCUGCUCUUAAGAAGCUUAUG